RNAcentral lists this long non-coding RNA (2544 nucleotides) under Gossypium barbadense (sea-island cotton). Its description in RNAcentral is "long non-coding RNA (GBAR_LNC002389)". The record is from RNAcentral. Lineage: Eukaryota; Viridiplantae; Streptophyta; Magnoliopsida; Malvales; Malvaceae.
CCCCAAAAAAAAUAAUUAAAAUGGCCUUAUUACAACCCAAAACCAAACAAUAAUAUUAAUAAGAUAAAACUUAUAAAGAAAUAAAUCGGCUACUUAUUGCAAUUAAAAGAAACAAAAACAGUAGUGUGGCCAUCUCCGAGUCCCUCGCAGCUCCAAACCAUCUAAGCUUAGGGAUUACCUGCACAAUUAGAAACGGGGUGAGUUUACGAAAACUCAGUGUGUAAUCCCAAUAACAAACAAACGGUGAAAACAUAGUAUCAGUACAAUCUGGGCCAAAGCCCUAUUUAGUCUUGACAUAUACUGGGCCGAAGUCUUUCGUUUAACGGUUACUGGUCCGAAGCCUUUUCAUAAAUCAUAUCACUGGGCCGAAGCCUUUUCAUAAAUCAUAUCAUUGGGCCAAAGCCUUUACUGUAAAUGGUAUGGCCCUUAGGCCCAUUUCAAUAUCACAUGUAAUGUCAAUGGAUGUAUGCAAGCCCAUUUCAAUAUCACAUGAAAUACCAAUGAAUGUAUGCAAGCCCAUUUGGGGAGACUACUCAACCCACCAUCUACUACUCUCCACCCAUACCAACCAACACACCAUGUGGGGAAUAACUCAACCCACCCAUCCAACACACCACUGGCAGCAUAGCUGCUUUAUCAUAUAUCUGGAGGCCUAGCCUCUUUAAUAACUGGGGCAAAGCCCUUUUUGGUAAACUAGGGCAAAGCCCUUUUUGGUAAACUGGGGCAAAGCCUUUUUCAAUAAACUGGGGCAUAAGCCCUUUUCGGUAAACUGGGGCAUAAGCCCUUUUCAAUAAACUGGGGCAUAAGCCCUUUUCAAUAAACUCCAUCCAUAUAAAAACCCAACCCAAUGCAACAUGUCAUGUAUGCAGAAUGUCAUGCCCAUAUUUGAAUAAACAAUCACAGUCAAGUCAUUCAUAUCACCAACAUAUAUUCACAAUCAAUCCGUCAUCCACACAGUCCAAGUCAGUCAUUUGCCCACAAGGGCAAAACAGUCAUUUUUCACAUUAUAAGGGUAUUUUCAUAAUUUUACCAAAUAUCAGGGUUUUCCAUGUUCAUUACAAUUAUUAAUAUUUUUGAGUGUUUAAACAAUGAUCUUUAACCUACUUUAUCAAAUUCGGGCUUUUGGGCCAAAACCUCUAAUGGGCCCUACGAAUGUUGAUUUAGCCUACUUAACCCAAAUUUUACAACAAUACUAACUGUGUUAACGUGUAACUUUUCCAAAUUCCAUUUUCUAUCAAUUCUACCCAAAUGGGUCCGAAAGCCCAUUGGGCCCAAUUUCAGCCCAUUGAGGCCCAACUUACCAUCGUGCACAAAAUUGAGUUCUUACAUGUUCCAUCGAUCCAAACACCGAUCUUAUCGUAUUUAUCGCAUCUAUACCCAAACGCAACAUCACAAGUUCCUGAAAUACUUGUAUUUUAGCAUUUCGGCUUCUCAGCAAAUAUUAAUCUAAGCUAUUACGAGGGUUAGUACACACCUGUUACGGGUUGAAGUUGAAACGUUUCCAAAAUUAAUCGCCUACGAUAACCACCACCUGUCACUCAAACUUAACUAAUCCAAUAUCAAUAUAUGUAAAUCCUAAGCACAUCAGUCAUACGGAACAUAAGGGCAUAUUCGUCAUUUUACCAUAUAGGGGUAUUACGGUCACUUUACCCUACAGGGGCUUUACGGUCUCUUUACCUUACAGGGGCUUUACGGUCUUUUUACCUAAUAGGGGCAUUUUAGUCAUUUCAUCCUACAAGGGUGUUUUGGUAAAUCUACAAACCAAGGGUAUUUCAGUAAUUUUGUAAACCAAUGGUAUUUCCAUAAUUUUUAGAAAGUCAAGGGUAUUUCUAUAACUUUGUAAAUCAGGGGUAUUUUGGUAAUUUUACAAAUUGAGGGUAUUUUAGUAAUUUCACAAACCAGUGGUAUUUUGGUAAUUUUACAAACUAGGGGUAUUUUGGUAAUUUUACAAAUUGAGGGUAUUUCGGUAAUUUUACAAACCAGGGGUAUUUUAGCAAUUUUAUAGACUAGGGUAUUUUGGUAAUUUUACUGAUCGAGGGUAUUUUGGUAAUUUCGUAAACCAAGGGCAUUUUAGUAAUUCUGUAAAUCGAGGGUAAAACGGUAAUUCUAUAAAUCGAGGGUAAAACGGUAAUUCUAUAAAUCGAGGGUACUUUGGUAAUUUUACAAUUUGAGGGUAUUUUAGUAAUUUGGUAAACUAAAGUAUUCUAAACAGGGAUAACAAUACGAAUGGGCCUAAAGCAUAUUCUCGGCCUAAAUGGGCCCACACACUCGUGUGGCCUUUUUAGGCCAAAUCUAGCCACAGAUAUGAGAUUCACCUAACCUAGUCUAAUAUUUACUACACAAUCAAACAACUUAUCCAAUUGGGCCUGUAGGCCCAUUGGGCCCACAUGACCCCUUUCGGUCCAUCACGGCCCGAAGUAGCCAUCCUACAGCUAGAGUAGCGAGAAAUACACACCUGAUUGGCGGCUGGAGUUAAUCCAAGCUCCGAGCACUCUUAGCCGACGCCCAACCCAAACGAGCAUGCCAUACAGCGAAAGGGAUCUG